This 446-nucleotide ribosomal RNA is filed under the name uncultured bacterium. RNAcentral describes it as "bacterial SSU rRNA". It matches the Rfam family "Bacterial small subunit ribosomal RNA", at positions 331 to 792 of the family's 1533-position model. The record is from RNAcentral.
CCAGACUCCUACGGGAGGCAGCAGUGGGGAAUAUUGGGCAAUGGGCGCAAGCCUGACCCAGCAACGCCGCGUGAAGGAAGAAGGCUUUCGGGUUGUAAACUUCUUUUAAGAGGGAAGAGCAGAAGACGGUACCUCUUGAAUAAGCCACGGCUAACUACGUGCCAGCAGCCGCGGUAAUACGUAGGUGGCAAGCGUUGUCCGGAUUUACUGGGUGUAAAGGGCGUGUAGCCGGGCUGACAAGUCAGGUGUGAAAUCCCGUGGCUCAACCUGGAGACUGCACUUGAAACUGGGUGUCUUGAGGGCAGGAGAGGAAAGUGGAAUUCCUAGUGUAGCGGUGAAAUGCGUAGAUAUUAGGAGGAACACCAGUGGCGAAGGCGACUUUCUGGACUGUACCUGACGCUGAGGCGCGAAAGCGUGGGGAGCAAACAGGAUUAGAUACCCUAGUA